Long non-coding RNA from Cavia porcellus (domestic guinea pig), 7604 nucleotides. RefSeq lists it as uncharacterized. NCBI's taxonomy places the organism in Eukaryota, Metazoa, Chordata, Mammalia, Rodentia, Caviidae. The record is from RefSeq and is a predicted model, not a curated record. The transcript has 3 exons.
UCCUAAUUGCUACUAGGGACUAUGUCGCUGGCCAGCUAAAUUAAACAUGUGGUUUUUUAUUUCCCUUAAGUCCUCUAGUGUCUUUUUGAUUUUUGGAUCCAACUUGGAUUGAUUUUGGCAGGGGGCUGCCUCAUUUGGGGGCUCGUCCGGGAUGGAAUAACAGCCCACUGGCGCAAAUUCCAGAGGACCGAUUGGUAAAGAGACGCCUCCGGAGAGAUUACAUGUGCUCUUGGACUGACUGCCAACCAUUUGGUCGCCCCGAGGGUGCCCACAGGUCUCCUUUGACCUCCAGCUGGUGCCCAGACCAAAGGAAGAGGAUCCCGAUCAUUGUGGUCUUUUCUUUGUUAUUUUGCCUUUUUCUGUACUCAGUAAACUUUUCUAUUGAUUUCCUCUUCUCACAGGGAACUACAGCAGGCAGAAAUGGGACAGACUAAUGCUAAAAAGGCUCCCUCUCCCCCACUCCCCUUGGCCUUGUCUUAGAACACUUUAAAGAAUUUAAAAGGCCUGCCAGAGAAUAUGGGGAGCCUGUUUUCAAGGGAAGAUUAACGAUUUUUGCCUCCCAGGAGUGGCCGAUGGGUACACAGGGCGUGUGGCCGCCGACUGGGUCAUGUGAUAUGGGGAUACAUAGUCGGUCCGUAAUUAGGUUCUUGGGCCUCUUCUCACCUGCAUCAGAUUGUUUACAUUCCAAUUUGGAGAGACCUCAUCCAUGACGCCCCGCUGUGGAUCCCUCACACGCUAAAGAUGGAGAUGACCGUGGCCCGACUCCCUGCCCUCCGUGCCACCGGUUCUACCUUCAGCUGAAGACCCGUAGACAAUCUCCUCUUUCCUCCCUCUUACCCUCCUACCCGACACCCUCUCCUGCACCCCAGGACAGUCCUUCCCACUCUCCUUGCGCCAUUCGUACUGCAGUAGACCUUGCCCGCCUUCUCCUGACAGCACCACAGCACCAGCACCCCUCUGUCCCCUCCAAGAGAUUCCAAACCCCAGAGAUCCUGAGAGUCCAUCUUUGUAUACACUCCUUUAGCCACCUCUGAUCUCUAUAACUGGAAGGGUCAAAACCCCCCUUUCUCCAAAGACCCUGAGAAUCUAACCAGUUUAAUGGAGUCUUUUCUCCACCCAUAGUCCCACUUGGGAUGACUGUCAGCAGAUUCUGAGAGUUCUCUUCACUUCUGAGGACUGCACUGGUAUCCCUGCCUUGGGACGAAAAGAGGUCCCAACAGAUGACCCCCAAGAAGUGGAGCUUGUCUUCCCCUUGUCCCGCCCUGAUGGGGAUCCCAAUAUAUUUGGAGUCAUUAGACUCUGACUAAUAACAAAGUGGAUGCGGUCAGCGGCACCAGAGGACGAGAGUCAUAGCUGAAGGUAAUGGCCCAGUUGACUUGCCCUGGAAAAAAUACCACUAUGCAUGAAUUUCUGUGGGUCCAGAAAUGCCCCAAUCCACUGCUAGGAAGAGACCUUUUCUGUAAGUUAAAGGUCCAAUUGAGUUUUCAGACAGAAGCCCCACAACUGACUCUAGGGGCAACUCACAAGGAACAAAUCAAGGUGUUUGCCUUCCUACCUGAAGGGAAAAAUCAUCUCUUGCUGGGAAAUGACCCCACUCCAGGAACUAACAGCCACCUCCUUUAGGCUUGGCAAAUGGAGAUACUGGGGGUCUGGGCUGAAAAUAACCCCCCAGGCCUGGUUGUAAACCAAGUUCUUCUAGUAAUAGAGUUGCUGCCCCAGGUAUCUGCCAUCUGCCUUAGCUAAUAUCCAAUAAGGUUGCAGGCCCACCAAGGGAUUGCUAUACAUAUGGCUAGAUUAAAAGAUAAUAAAAUCCUUGUGCCUUAUGUUUCUCCCUGGAACAUGCCACUACUCCCAGUCCCAAAGCUGGGGACUACCAGCCAGUACAAGAUCUCUGGGAAGUCAACAGGUGAGUGGUUACCCUGCAUCCUACGGUUCCUUAUCCCUACACCCUACUGAGACUUCUGGGCCCAGAACACAUCUGGUACUCAGUCUUGGACCUAAAGAUGCCUUCUUCACUCUCCCAGUGGCCCCAGUAAGUCAACCCAUUUUUGCUUUUGAAUGGACUGAUCAGGGGACUGGAGUAACUGAACAAUUGACUUGGACACGUUGACCACAAGGCUAUAAGAAUGCUCCCACUUUAUUUGAUGAAGCCUUGGCUAGAGAUUUGAUGGGGUACCAGAAAGAGGUCACACUUUUGCAGUAUGUAGAUGACUCAUUAGUGAUCACCAAAAUCUUUGAAGAUUGCAAGGAAGCAACCAAGGACUUGUUAAUAACUUUAAAUGAUUUGGGAUAUAAGGUGUCAGCAAAGAAGGCACAGAUAUGCCAACAGACAGUGACUUAUCAGGGGUAUCAAUUGCAAGGGGGAAAGAGGACCCUCUCAAAUAAAAGGGUCCAAGCCAUUCUGCAAAUACUGGCACCAAGGACCAAGAAGCAAGUCCGUGAGUUCCUUGGUGCAGCUGGAUAUUGUAGGCUUUGGAUAUUAAACUUUGCUGAAAUAGCUCAGCCACUGUAUGACUUUUUUUUUAUUUAAAGAGAAAAACAAAACAAAACAAAAAACCAGUAAAAGGGUACAAGUAAUACAGAAUUUCAAGAGAAAAAAUAUACAGUAAGAAAUCACUAGUUAAUAGAUUACAUAUUGUCAUCUCAGAAACAGUUGUCCAUAUUACAAAAUUAAAGCAUACAAUGUGGACAUUAAUUCAGUGAGAUUGCAGACAGUUCUGUUCAAUGAUCCAACAAAAACUCAGUGAUAUGGUUUUCUAUCCUAUACACUUAAAUAUACAUGCAGUUAUGUCCUUUAGAUCACUUUCUUUCCUCUCUUUUUUAUGAUAAAAAUUACACAUUUUGGGUUUUAUUACUCCCACAGUUUUUCUUUGAAGAGGAAAACAAAACAAAACAAAACAAAACAGAACAGAACAAAAAAAGACCCCAAUGUGACAAAGCAAAACAUAGUCAGUUAGAACAGGAGGAUGGACAUAGUAUACAAUGCAAGAAGAGAUUACUAGGUGAUCAACAAUGGUUACCAUUAUGCUUCUUGCUAUCUUAAAAAGAGUUGUGUGUAUCAUCUGGUAUAACAGAAUUGAACAAAACAGUACAGAACAAGACCAAUAAAACCCACACUGGAGACCUUAUAGGACUUCCAAAGAAGAUAACAGUCAAGCCAUAAUGGGCAUCAUAGAAUUCUUUAAAAGGGCAGAUGCAGGGUCCACUGCAAUGGACAGACAUGCAAGAGACAGCCUUUUGACAAUUAAGACAGGCUCUGGUGGAUGCUCGCGCACUGGGACUCCCUAACAUAAAUAAGCCAUUUUUCCUGUAUGUGGAUGAAUUGAGAGGGAUUGCAAAGAGAGUAAUAACCCAGGAGCUAGGACCUUGGCAGAGGCCUAUAGCCUAUCUCUCUAAAAAGUUGGACACAGUGGCUGCCAGCUGGCCACCCUACCUGAGGAUCAUUGCUGCAGUAUCUAUGCUGAUAAAAGAGGCUAAGAAGCUCACUUUUGGCCAGAAGGUCACAGUGAUAACCUGUUACUCACUUGAGGCCCACAUUCAGGCCCCUCCAGACUGAUGGUUAUUGAAUGCAAGAAUAAUGCAUUACCAAGCAUUGCUUUUAGAUCCUGACUCUGUUGUCUUAGGUCUUCAGCAGCUCUGAAACCAGCUACGCUGCUACCCAAUGAGGAUCCAUCAGCCCUAUACCAUAAAUGCUCCACCUUGAUUGAUAGCUUCCACAGCCUCCCAUCUGACCUGACUGAUGUACCUCAGAAAGGAGUCCCAGAAUUCUUCUCAGAUGGUAGCAGCUACAUGCACCAAGGUAAACGAAUUGCAGGGGCAGCCGUGACUUCCAAGACCCAAAUUUUAUGGGCACAGAGAUUGGACUCUGGCACUUCUGCUCAGUGAGCUGAACUCAUUGCCUUGACAGAGGCCCUGAAACUGGCUGAAGGUAAGUGAAUUAACAUUUAUUUAUAUUGAUAGUAGAUAUGCCUUCGCUAGUGUUCAUGUACAUGGAGCAAUCUAUCAGGAAAGAGGACUACUGACCUCAGCAGGGGAUAAAAUAAAAAAUGCUCCCCAAAUAUUGGACCUGCUGGCAGCAAUAUGGUUACCUGAGAAAGUGGCUAUAAUACAUUGCAAGGCCCAUCAGAAAGGAGAUGACCCCAUAACCAGAGGAAACAAUUUGGCCAAUAUGGCAGCCAAGGAGGUUGUCAUAAAACCAUUGGGAUCUGAAGAAGGGGAAAUAAUAGAAGCCACCCCUACACUUUUAUUGAUGCUUCCAACAUCAAAACCAGUGUAUACUCAAAAGGACCUCCAUCUGGAUGCCCAGCUUCAGGCAAGACCUGACAUUCCAGGAGGCUGGUAUCAGUUGCCAGAUAAGAGAAUCUUGCUGUCUGAGGUCCUUGGACGAGAGCUUAUUCAGCAAGCUCAUCAGUCCACUCACUUGGGAGGAUCAAAACUAGCUGAACUUUUCUGAGACCCAUUCUUUAUACCUUGAUUGUCUAAGCUGACAGCAGCUGCCAGUGCCAGAUGUCCUCAGUGUCAAUUGGUUAACUCAAAACGGCUGGCUUGUUUUGGGGGAACUUCCCCAGGAGAACACUGGGAAAUUGACUUUACAGAAAUGAAGAAGCCAGGUCUGCAAGGACAUAAAUACCUUUUAGUUAUGAUUGAUACCUUUACCGGAUGGGUGGAAGCAUUUCCCACCCAAUCGGAAUCAGCUCUCACUGUAGUAAAAGAGUUACUAUAUGAGAUUAUUCCUCAAUUUGGCCUACCCUUACCUUUGGGGUCUGACAAUGACCAGCUUUCAUAGCCCAGGUAACCCAAAAGUUAACCCAGGCCUUUCAGAUUAAUUGGAAACUUCACUGUGCAUACCGUCCUCAAAGUUCAGGGCAAGUAGGGAGGAUGAAUCAAACUUUAAAAAACAUGAUUACUAAGUUGUCUCUGGAAACCAGCGAUAAUUUGGUAAGUUUCCUUCCUUUUGUCCUCUUGUGAGCUUGAUGUACUCCUUAUGUGUCUGGGGUGUCACCCUUUGAAGCAAUGUAUGGUGACUCCCUCCCCUUAUCCCAAAGCUUUCAGAAGAAAAGCUGGCAGAAUUGACUAACCAAGAUCUUAUUAAGUCCCUACAGGCCCUUUACCCUGUAAUGAACUCCAUACACUGGCUGUUUAAGCUGAAACACCGUCUGGCAACUCCCCUCUUGAGUCCAGUCCACUGGCAGAACCUGGUGCCUCAGUUCUCAUCAAAUGUCACCACGAGACACCCUCGAACCUCGCUGGGAAGGACCCUACACUAUGAUACUCAGUACACCGACUGCAGUGAAAGUGACUGGCAAGAUUCCCUGGAUUCAUCACACUCAUGUCAAAGUUUUGGAUACCCAAGGAAACCAAUCCUCGCAGGACAAUUGGACUAUACAUUGGACCAGUAACCUGUGAAAGCUAAAGUUAACCAAGCAUUCCUAGCUAUCUUAAACAUGUUUUUCCUCUGUGCUUAUUGUCUAUUAUCUGAGUGUGACUGUACUCCCUGGACAGGGAGAUUGGCUUAUCUAUGAUGAAAUAACACAACAGGAGUUGGGAAGAAGCUCUGGAAAUCAAAAUCAGGUCACCAUUGAUCUUUGUGUUCUCUUUGGGAAAAUGUAUGAAAAGUAUGUGGGCUUUGAUUAUGUAAAGAUGUUUAAAAAAAAAACCGCCUGCUUUGGGACCAACUCAAGAACUGAGUUGAUCAAAUGUUGCUAUACAUAUGCCCUAAGAGUCAACCUGCAUAUAGUUCCUACUGUUCUUCUGAUCCUGAGCAGCAGUAUUGUUAUUCGUGGUCCUGUGUCACCUGGGGGCUGGAUGGCUACUACACCUCUGAACAAUAUCUCACCCUACAGAGACUAGAGGGACCUAAUAAUUGUGAAAGCCCCACAGAAUGUAUCCCCAUUCAGCUGACUUUCCUUAGACUUCCUGAGCAAAAGUGGCAACAAGGGCUUAACUAUGUUCUUAAGGUUUAUAAGGCAGGAUAUGAUCCAGGCACAAAGUUUACUAUCAAACAUAUUCCAGAGAGACCACCUCCCAAAGUCAAGCUCCAUAAAAGCUCAGAAACUCCUCAUCCCCCUCUUGUUAGCCCCAUCCCAGAGAACACCCCAAUAACUCUUAGAGCCCCCUCUAUGAUUGAUAUAUUCCAGCCUUUGGAGUUAGUAUCCCAGCUGUUAAAUACCUCACUUAACAAUAAUCUCAGUACCCCAUGCUGGCUUUGCUUAGCUUAUGACCUACCACUACUUGAGGGAUAUAGUAAAUUAAAUGCCUCUCUAGCUCAAUUGUCCUCCUCAAACAUCAACUCUUGCUGUCAAAUAAAGAGCCCUUGGGCCUUAUGGGAAAAUAUAGAUUUGAUGGGAACAGAAGGGACCUGCAUAUAUUUCCACCACACCCCCUAGAUAUUGUAAUGCUACUAUGUCCAUUGCUAUUCAGGAAGGUGGAGAUAAUCAAUACAUAACCACCCCAACAGACCACUGGUGGGCCUGCACUUCAGGAUGGGUCACAUGUGUGUCUAAGCAGAAGGUUACUACAAAAAGAGAUGAAAUCUGUGUCUUAACCUAGGUAUUUCCCAGGGUAUAUUGGCACCCAAAGGAGGGAGGAGAUAAGGCUCUUACCCACUCCAAUCAAGGAAAAACUAGAAGAAGCUCAGUCCUCCCCACCAUAGCUGGGAUAACCAUCUUCUCAGCCCUGGGAAUGGGAGCUACCUCACUGGGAGUCAACCUCCACCACUAUGAUUCGUUAGGUAGACAGAUGGAUGAAGGGCUGAGGCAAAUACAGAGCACCAUAACUGCCUUAGAGGAUUCUAUAGACUCUUUGGCAAAAGUGGCCCUCCAAAACCACCGAGGACUAGACUUACUGUUGUCAGAAAAAGGAGGACUUUGCCUACCUUAGGAGAGCAGUGUUGUCUGUAUGUUAACAAAUCUGGGAUAGUCAGGCAGAAUAUGGCAGACUUACAAUGGAGCCUCUUAGAAAGAGAAGAAUUAAGGCAAGAGGCUCCUGGUUGGAUAGAACAAAUGUUUAACUUUUCCCCACAGCUCACUAGCUUAAUAGUGACCUUAUGGGGCCGAUCAUGAUUUUUCUACUAGCUGUUACAAUAGGCCCAUGCAUAAUAAAUAAAAUAACUGCCUAUAUCAGGCAAAUGCAGAGCAUCAAGCUUAUGAUGAUGCGCCAUCAGGCAUAUGCGUUGGUACCCCAAAACCCUUAAGGCCAAGGAUUUGGACACAAAAUGGGGAAAAUGUUGUAAGUUAUGAAAUACAACUAUUUCAUUUGCUAUAGCCUAAGUGCCACUUUGACUGUUUUGUAAUAUGCCAACUUUGCUAAACCUUGUUGGCCUGUAACUGAACCCUUGUGGUUAAAAUUUCCCAGGAAUGUUUGUACAACCAUGGUCAGGAGAUAACUUCAAAACUUCCCCCAGAGUUGUAAAUAACCUCAAAACAUCCCCCCAGAGCUGUUUUUCCCUGUGGUCUCAGCUGUGUAACUAUUAUCUGAUAUCCAUCAAGAUACGAUGUAACAAAGCAAAUUCCUGUGGUUUUAGGCUUUAAAUACCCCAAACCCCUCCCAGUCAGGGCACUAGUCUUCUAGUUGCUACUAGGGACUACGUCGCUGUCCAGCUAAAU